GUAAAAGGAGACAUGGGAGACACCUCUGCUCUCUCUCUCCCGCAGAAACUGUGCCUGGGCUUUUGGGAUGUUGUUAGACCUGUUCUCUCCUAUUAGUGAUGUUAGAGCUGCUGUGGGGGUACAGGGCUCUGCAGCCAUAUGCAGCCCCAAAACUACCCCAAAACUGCCACAAGUGGGCACAGUGAGGGCUGAGAGUCAGUACUGUUCUCCAGCAGAGAAGCUGUAUUGCAAAGGUCUCUGCUCUGCUUCUUGUUUUUAUCCUCCAUUGCACAAUGCAGUGUGCUGGCUUCCCAGCCUCUGUCACUGCACUGCCAUCCCUCGGAGCUACAGUGAAGUGCCACCAGAGGACAAUGUGCCCAAUGGACACUGGUGUUCCACCUGCUACAGUGUGGACUCCUUCCAGUGAGAUAACUGCUGGGAUUCACCGUAGUAUGACAUAACUGAGGUCAAGAGCAGAACUGGACUUGUGAAGCAAUCUGAUAUAUGGACAUGUAAUAAACUUGACCAGCACCCUGAAUUUUCUGGUCCU
This 529-nucleotide long non-coding RNA is filed under the name Anser cygnoides (Swan goose). RNAcentral describes it as "lncRNA (ENSACDG00005015169.1)". The record is from RNAcentral. Lineage: Eukaryota; Metazoa; Chordata; Aves; Anseriformes; Anatidae.